AGGAAUUAAAACUACAAACAAAAUCAAAUAUUAUUAAAGCAUCUUCUGUCCCUCUCUGAGCUUGAGCGUCUCGCCCUUCUCAGGCUCCUCUAGAGCUCUCCAUCGCACUUCAGCAACAGCAGUCCACAGGACUGCCUGCCUGGACCCUGGCCCUUGGUUCAGGGCCCACCAAAGGAGCUAGCUCCACUCCUAUAGUUCUCCCCUCCAAUUCAACUUAACUGCUGUCCUCUACACUUAACUGCUGUCCUUUUGAGGGGCUCCCGGGAUGGGAGAAGCCCUCGGUCUGCUACCCUGAAAAGAAGACUGUGACUCCAUUGAGUUUCUGCUUGAUUUUUAAAGACUUUGCUGCUGGCCCAGAUGAACCCAAAGCAAGGGCCUUUGAAGAGGCCAGCUGAGAGAAGCCAGCUUAGGGUCUGACCAGUUACUUAAAUACCCUGGAAGGGUUUAAAUUUGUUUAGUACUUUGGCCAGAGGGAAUGGGAGUGACCAACUCAUGCGGGAAAAGCCAAGGAAACCCACUCCAGAAGAGGGAACAGAGGCAAGGAGUGCCUCCAUUGCCACAGUUGACCGAGAAGGGAUGGAAUGGGGCGACCAUGCCCGUGACAAAGAUGAAGAGUCAUUUAAAGAAACAGUAGGACAGUACGGGGAAGAUCACAGAGCGAUAGCAAGUUUAUAGUGAUGGAAUUGUGUAAAGAUGACCAAAUGUGAGAGGUGAUUCUCCUGUAUUGGCAGACCCACAGGAAGUACCACAACAACAGAGAAUAUGAUUUCUUUGAAGACGGUUUGCUGAAGGACAUAGCGAAAAAUAAUUCAAGGUUGUUGGUGGUGUUCACAGAGAAGCUGCAAAUGGUGGAGCACUGCUUCUGUGCCCAAGAAAUGAACAUUGACUGGUGGGAUUGCAUCAUAGUGAAAGUUUGGAUGAUGAGCAGUGGCUGCAAAACUUUUGGAUGUGAAAGCCCAAGUUCCUGGAUUUGUGGGCUGAGCUCCCUCCAGCGCAUGGUCACCAGAACGAGAGCUGCAUUGACAGCGAAGAAGUGAGUGGCGGUUGCACUCUGGAAGCUCACAAUGUCAAAAUGCUACUGCUCAGUGGGAAAUCAUUUUGGAGUUGGAAAAUCCACAGUUGGGGCCGUUGUCAUGCAAGUGUGUAGGGCCAUUAGCUGUCUUCUGCUACACAGGACUGUGACUCUCGGCAAUGUGCAAGAAAUAGUGGAUGAGUUUGCAGCAAUGGGGUUCCCAAACUGCAGGGGAGUGGGGGAGUCCCUAUUUUGGCAUCAACCCUCCUUGCCCCAGAGUACUCAGUGGAAAAGGUUACUUUUCUAUGGUUAUGCAAGCAUUGGUGGAUCACUGGAAUGCUUCACCAAUAUCAAUGUGGGCUGGUCAGGGAAGGUGCACGAUACUCGCAUCUUUAAGAACACAGGACUGUUCAGAAAGCUGCAAGCUGGGACAUUCUUUCCCAACUGGUGGGUGCCCACUGGCAAUAUUGAAAUGCGGCUGCCAACAGUGAUUCUGGGGGACCCAGCCUACCCCUUGCUCUCCUGGCUCCAUACACUGACCACCUCUACAGCACUAAGGAAGGAUUCAGCUACCAGCUUAGCAGGUGCAGAAUGACCGCUGAAUGUGCUUUUGGUAGACUGAUGGGACACUGGCAUUGUUUACUCACUACAUUGGAUCUCCGUGAGAAAAAUGUCCCAAUGGCUAUAGCUGCCUGUUGUGUCCUGCAUAAUAUCUGUGAGGCAAAGGAGGAAAAGCUGCCUCCAACGUGAAGGGUAGAGAUGGAGUGGCUCUCUGCUGACUUUGAACACCCGGACACAAGGGCUAUUUCAGGACCCCAACGUGGAUCUGUGUGUUUGAGGGAGACUCUGAAAGAGAACUUUAACAGUCAGCUCCAGUAGUGUUUUCUGCUGGAGUUUUGGUUUCUGCUUAGGAUUGGGUAGUGCCUGCUGUACAUUUAUAAAUAUGACUGUGUGUUUUCCUUAAGCUAUCAAUAAUGUGACGCCCUUAAGCUAUGAACUGUGUGGUGCUUGCUGUACAUUUAUAAAUAUGACCUGGUGUUUUCCAGAAGCAGUGAAUUCUGUGAUGCUUGGUGUACAUUUACAAAUACUGUUUCCUUUGAACACCGUUCUGCGAUAUUUGUUGGAACUAAUAAAGGUAAUUUGAUCCUCCAAAAAUAGAACUUAAAUUGGUAGGAAAAAAUACUGCAGAAAAUAAUGUGCAAAAAAAUCCACAGGCAAUGUUUUAUGAAUUUUUAACAUAACUUAAUGAGGUGCAAAUUUAAAAUUAGAAAGGAAGGAAACAUUUAUGUCCAUUUGAAUGCAUAAAUGUAGUCCGUUGUGGGUAUACACGCACCAACUGUGAUUGUCACAGGUCAGUGUUAUAUGAAGCUGUGGUUUUCCUUGCUGUCUUCCAGUGUGGAGUGGUGUGGGUACUAGUGCACCCCAUUAUGCCACAUAGUAUGUUCAGAGGGUUUAGGCAUUCUUCAAGAAUGGCAAAGAGUGGAGAGUCCUGGAUUUUUGGACCUGUAAAUCAACCAGGAUCUGAAGCAUUUGGGUUUGCUACUUGAGAAGACCCAUUAUGUCCUGGUGCAUUUCCCUCUCCUUUUCCUGAUGGAACGCCUGGGCUUUUUUCCUAUCUUCUGUGUCUUUCUACAUGCUGUCGGUCCUAUGGGCCCUCCAGAUCCAUUGGUCACAGUGUGAUGCUUGGCUUGCAGGACCUUGCGAAACACGUCCUCAGCCGUCCUCUUCUUUCUCAACAGGAUAGGCUUUCUGCGGGUGUGGAGGGGGCACCCUGAAGGUUGCGACGCCAGAAGCUCCUCAUAAAAACAGACAGAUACUGUGAUUUACAGUCACAAUGGAAAGGGAAAGAAAACUUUCAAAACUCCCUCUCCUUAUUCCCAUCAACAACGUUAAUAUGACUUGCUUAUUGACACCAGCUUUGGAGCACCACAGCACAGCACCACUCUGGACCCCAGCUAUAGUGAGUGAUUUUCUGUUGCACAAAGCUAUAAAAUUUUCAUCCUUAUUCCAUGGAUCUAAGCAUAAACCAAUGGCACUGACUAUUGGCACUAGUUUCAACAGAAGGUAGUGCUUUUAGCUGAUAUCUCACUACGAAGGAUAACAAAGGUACAGAGAACACAGCUGCUGGCAUCCUGAAGCUGCCCGGGCCCAUAUGCCACUAGCCUGUUUACUGCAAUGUCACCAACCAAACUCAUCACAAAGUGGUGUGGGAAAGUGUCUUACCGUGGAGGAAGAAAUAAGUCAGCCAUUCCUAGAAAUUUUUGGGAGCAGAUUGCAUAGUAUCUCCUUUCAUGGCAAUCUUUCAGGAGGAUAAAAGGUACAUUUUUAUGCAUAUAAAAAGUGCUCCAGAUGGACCCCACCCUGCCUAACCCAACAGGGGAAAGGAAGGCAGGCGCCAACUCUACCUUUCUUGGUUGUACCUCCACCUCUUCUUGUACAAAUAAAACAAUGAAAAGUUGAUACCUUUGUCUUGUUAACUUGGGGAUGGGCCAGGCACCAUCUUUAAAUUUCAAUGCUCUGAGGAAAAAUAUAUGCUCACUCCCGAGUUCUCUUCCCCUUCAUCAGGCUGAUCUGUGCUUGCCUGGUGGGUCUGGCUAGACUGUGGCAGAGACUCAAACAGAUCCUGGCACACAGCAUGGCUAGAGUCCCCUGCAGUGUUUCCCUCCCCUCCCCUCAUUGUUCACAACAGGGGUCUCUAUCUCGGGCUCCUCUGAAGCAUCCACAGGGGUCUGGGGGUGGUGGUGGAGUCUCUGCCAAAUAUGGCAUACAGUUCCUUGUAGAAGCAGCAGGUCUGUGGCUCAGCAUCAGAUCUACUGUUGCGCUCCCCGCCUUGUGGUAUCCCUGGUGAAGUUCCUGGACUUUCACAUGACACUGCUGCUCAUCCCAGUCAUACCUCUUUGCCUGUAUCUCCAGGCAAUCUGCGGGUAGGUGUCCAUGUUUCCACAGCUGGGCUGUAGUUAUGCUUGCGCAGCCUCUUCUCCCAGCUGGUCUAGGAGCUCUAAUAGUUCCUGUUCACUCCAGGCAGGAGUGUGUCUAGUGGAGCUGGCAUGGUUGCCAUACCACAAGAGAGAGCUGCUAGGUGUGCUGCCAAGGAGGGCAGUCAGGAAAAGGCAUUUCAAAAUGUGGGGAGAGGGUUGCUUCUGGCCUGUGACUCCUCGGCAGUUGAGUUUACAAUGGUGAUCAGAGAAUGGGGCAUUGUGGGACAGCUGCUGCAGGAUUGUGAGGGUUGACACAGGUCAUGCAUUGUCUAUGCUUGCACUGUCAUCCUCAGUAGGUCAACCAUGGCUCUACGCCAUUUGGGGAGGUGGUUGCAGUGCCAUAAUGGGGCAGUUACAUCAGCCUGAAACAAAUUUGUGCAUAGACACAUGCACAAAUAGAUCAAUGCAAAGUGACUUGCAUGGAACUAACUUUGUAGUGUAGACCAGGCCCUAAAGUAAAAAGCGCCUCUGAAAACAUUUUAAAGUUCUCCACUCCCUUUUUCUCACUUGUUCUGCAGAGCAGGGAUGUUCUCUCACCCUGCCUUGGGGCAUGUCUACGCUUGCCAUUUAAAGCGGAAAAAGUCCCUUUUUUUGUGCAAAAACCAUGGGAGCGUCUACACUCUCCAAUGACAUUUUGCAGUGAGACUCAGACGUUUCACCACAAAAAGCAAACCACCUCCAUGAGAGGCAUAUAGUUCGUACCAGUGAUGCUUUCGCGGUGACGUGCAAGUGAAGACACAUUCUUCCCAGUGGUGUAGCCAGGUGGAGAGAACAGGGGGAGCGGAGAUAAAAAAAAGGCACCACCUGCUUGGACUCACCCGGCGGAGCUCCGGGUCUUCGGCGGCACUGAAGGAACCCCUGCCGCCGAAGUGCCUCCGGAGACUGGAGCGAGCAAAGGACCCGCCGCCGAAGACCCAGAGCGCUGCCGGGUGAGUAAAAAUUAAAAAGGCGCCACGCCCGCUCGGUGGGAGAGCAGCCGCUGCCCUGCUCCCUCACUAGCUACGCUCCUGAUUCUUCCUGUUUACACAGCUUUUCGCCUCCGCAGGAUCUCCCACAGUGCCUGGAUGACCACUCUCGCCAGCAGCUCUGCUGCUCUAAUGCCAGGUAAACAGACAUCCACCCCUCCCCCUGUAAAGCCCUGGGAACUUUGAAACUCCCGUUUUCUUGGCAAGGGCUCACUGAUCUGGCCAGGUGACAAUGCCUGCUCCACGGAGCCAAUGAUCCCCUGCUCCCCUGGAGCAAUGUCAAGCUACUGGAGCUUAUCCGUGUCUGGGGAGAGGAGGCUGUGCAGGGACCCAGAAUGCCCUGCAAUCAACACCCCCUUCCCACAAGACCCAUCGUCAAACUGGAGAGCGCUGCACUGUGGGAUAGCUGCCCUAGAGCGCUGCUCUCAUCCGCGAUGGAAGUGCUGCUCAUGUAAACACUCUCUGACGCCUGAGGAAUUAAGUGAGUACACAAACCAGCGCUUUUCUUUCACUGGUUCCCUGUCACUGGUGAAACUUACAGCGCAAAAACUCUGCAAGUGUAGACAUACCCUUGGUUGGACGGAUUCUGUCUGUCCCUUCAUCCUUAGAAGAUGAGCACAUGACCCUUCAGACUGUUUUUUACAGUGUUGUGUACAACACCUAGCGCACAAAUGGGGCCCUGUUCUGCAUGGAGCCUUUGGCUGCUGACACAAUAUAAAUAGUAAUAUUGUUGUGGUGAAAGGCGUUAAUGGCUGCCAACAGGUCUGAAACACAAUCACAGACCUUGUUAAAACCUGUGUGUGUACCAAGCACUCUUAACCUGCCUUGUGUGGUUGAGGCGCAGCGCUGGGAAAAAACCCCACCUCCACGAGGGGCGAAGCUCCCAGCUCUGGGGCACUGUUUACACUGGUGCCCGAGACUUGCUGCACUCAGGGGGGAGGUUUUUCACCCCCCUGAGAGAGAAAGUUGCAGCGCUGUUAAGUGCCAGUGUAGAUAAGCCCUUAUAUGCUCCACAGAAGGAGCAAUCAAGCUUCUUUGUGUAGUAAACAAAGCAAUGGCUGCAUGGCUGGCCCUGAACUAACCCCGGUAGAUUAACAGGGCAAAUGCAGGGGCGACAGGCUUGUCCUCACCUACAGCAAAGGGCAGCUUUGAUGCUGUGGUGCUUUAGUGAAGAUGCUACGACACCGAUGGGAGAGCUUCUCCCUUCAGGGGAGUUAAUCGACCUCCCGAGAGGCAGUAGCUACAGCGCUGUCCAUGGUGGGGGGGAUGGAUUUUUCACACCGCUUUGUGAUGGGGUUAUACUGAUCUAGAUCUGCAUAGUAGACAUGGUCUAAGAGAUCAGUUGUAAACUGUGUGUGUUGAAGAAAGCCAGGUAAAGGAGUGAGAAUGUGACUGUGAGAGGAAGCAGAGGGACAUAGCUUCUUGGGCACAGACCUUGCUGGAGAGGCUAACUUGGGGAUUUCCAAGCAGGGAAACUGCCUAUGGUUGUUUGUUUCUGCUGUGUUCAGGGAGACAGGCCUGUGGGUACAUUCUUUGUAGGUAAACAAGAUUACACCAAGCGUACACUGACACAAACCCCAGUUUCUCAGCCUAAUGGAAAGGAUGCUGCUUGACUGACUGCCCGGACCACUUUGACUACAAGCUUCAGUCCACCUCUUGCCAAAGGGGGCUCUGUGCAGCUGCAAAGCCAGCUCCUCGUUCCUGAAGACUCAGCAAAGACCUUUCCAGUGCGCAGGCCUUGUGGGUGGAAAACUUGGGGACAAAACUAGACUCGAGCUCCACCCAUAGGUAUUGUUUUUAUUCCUGUAGUGCCCAGAAGCUGCAACCAAGAUCAGGGCCCCAUUGUGCUAGGCACUGUGCCAACACAUAGUGAGAGUCAAGCCCUGCCUCAGAGAGCUUAGAAUGUAGAGAAGACAAAGGGUGGGGGAAACCGAGGCACAGCGAGGGGACGUGACUUGCCCAAGGUCACCCAUUAGGCCAGUGGUAGAGCUGAGACAAUAACUCAGGUCUCCUGAGUCCCAGCCUUUUAUGCCUUUUCAUAGCACUUACCUUCUUUGUUUUAGAAGCUGAUGGAAACUGAUCAGAGCAGUGUGCCCUGUCUGUUGGCCUGGGAAAGCCAAAGUAGUCCAUCGUGCUGUGUCCCAUUUCCUUCUCCCUGCUGUGGUUUUCCGUUGACUCUAGUGAUGGUCGGCUGUGAAGUCUCUGACACAGGCGAGGUUUUUGUCUAAGAUAUCCCAGUGGGGUUUGCAGUGGACACUUAACUAAGGGAAGCUGAACUAAGGAAAUUCCCAGCCCACCCACACAUGACAUAUCUCAGAGCAUUUUACCCUGAUUUCCAGAUGGGGUAACUGAGGCACAGAAAGAUGAACGGAGAUGCCUAAUGGCCAGUGGCAGAGGUAAGAAAGAACCCAGGUCUCCUGAGUCCCAGUCCAGCGCACAGCCACACUGCUUCUCAUCAGUGAAUGAAUUGCGAUUGUUUUACAGCUGAAUGAAAAUGAUUACUCACCACUGAUAAGACAAUUGGACGUCAUAUGCAAAUUCCUGCUCUCUAAUGGCCUCAUAAGAGCUUUUUUCUGAACCUCAGCCUUCUCUACUCUUUACAAUGACAGUGUAAUUUUUUUUUUUUGAUGCUCAAGAUCUUUAUCAUCCAGAGAUUUCUGAUAAAGGACGUUCAGAGCCAUGUUUUCCUGGAGGCCUCAAAUGGCUUUCUGAAUUGGAGGGGUCAAAGCUGUGCGAGCCAGCACCUUGUAUUUUCGCACACACACUAGUAGGUAGGUGUCAGUCUGCCAGAUUUGCAUAGCAAAACAUAAUUUGCCAGUGCAAACGUGGGCUUUUUGCGUGUACACAAAAUCGUGGGCCCAGAUUUAGAGGUUUCUGCUGAAAAUAUUGCUACUGGGACGUAUGUAGCAAAAUGUAUUAGGUCAGUUCCUGUCCUCCACUGCAGUCACUUUGCACCAGUCCACAAGCUCAAGGUACCAGGAAGCCAUCUGGUCUGGCUGCCUGAAUUUUCCAUCAGUGUAGGGAAGUCCCUAGAUGGCUUAUUGCUGGUAUAGUGGCUCUGACUCCUCACCCCUCUCUGCCCCCUGACAUAGGUGGCAUGGCUGGGUGCCAUUGCAUCCAGCUGAACCCUGGCUGCUGGAGCUGUCCCUAUUGACUUUGGGCAGCCAACACAAUUUAGAGCAGCCCCAAGAGUACUCUAAGAUGUGCCUUUGGACCAGACUGGCAAUUUAAGGACUGGGGUGUUUUAAAUCCUCUGUUAACUACUCUCUCCUGAACAGCACUGUGUACAGAAGGGUCAAACUCCAGGAUCUGGUCCAUUGACUUUAUAUUUUGAUGAGUAUCAAGAUUUAUGGUCCCUCUAGGUCAGUGGUCUCCAAACUUUUUGGUUCGCGCACCCCCAGGGUGAAGACCGGAAGACCUGCCGCAGACGCGCCACUGGAGGGGAACACCAGCCGUGGACGUGCAGAGCUGCUGCCGAAGAAAAAGAAUGGCGAGGUGCCAUCUGGCGGUGCUCCUGCUGCCGCGCACCCCCUGGGAUCAUCUCAAGGGUGCGCGCACCCCAGUUUGGAGACCACUGCUCUAGGUAGUCACUGACCCUCAGCACAAGGUCCAGUCUUUUCCCCUGUGGUCAAUGAACCCUGAAGCUUACUUCAGUGGAAGUCAAUAUUUAUUCUUCUUAAUCAUUUGCAUUUAUUGGUACUAAAAUAAACGAAAGCAGAACAAAGUAGUUGCCUUGUUCCACUGAUUUUGUUGGGCACAGCUUGGUUCAGAGCUGAAUCACAUGGUCAGACUUUCCAACACUGUUUGGGCAGUUGAUAGCCAGAAGAGCUGACACUAGCCAAGGGAAAACUGCAUGUCAGACCAGGAGGGAUGCUGACCUUGCUGGUUAAAUUCCUUGAAGUGGUUUCGCAUGUA
Long non-coding RNA from Chelonia mydas (Green sea turtle), 8870 nucleotides. RefSeq lists it as uncharacterized. The transcript is spliced from 3 exons. The record is from RefSeq and is a predicted model, not a curated record. NCBI's taxonomy places the organism in Eukaryota, Metazoa, Chordata, Testudines, Cheloniidae.